RNAcentral lists this ribosomal RNA (505 nucleotides) under uncultured bacterium. Its description in RNAcentral is "partial 16S ribosomal RNA". It matches the Rfam family "Bacterial small subunit ribosomal RNA", at positions 28 to 507 of the family's 1533-position model. The record is from RNAcentral.
GACGAACGCUGGCGGCGUGCCUAAUACAUGCAAGUAGAACGCACAGUUUAUACCGUAGCUUGCUACACCAUAGACUGUGAGUUGCGAACGGGUGAGUAACGCGUAGGUAACCUGCCUGGUAGCGGGGGAUAACUAUUGGAAACGAUAGCUAAUACCGCAUAAUAUUAAUUAUUGCAUGAUAAUUAAUUGAAAGGUGCAAUUGCACCACUACCAGAUGGACCUGCGUUGUAUUAGCUAGUAGGUGAGGUAACGGCUCACCUAGGCGACGAUACAUAGCCGACCUGAGAGGGUGAUCGGCCACACUGGGACUGAGACACGGCCCAGACUCCUACGGGAGGCAGCAGUAGGGAAUCUUCGGCAAUGGACGAAAGCCUGACCGAGCAACGCCGCGUGAGUGAAGAAGGGUUUCGGAUCGUAAAGCUCUGUUGUAAGAGAAGAACGGGUGUGAGAGUGGAAAGUUCACACUGUGACGGUAUCUUACCAGAAAGGGACGGCUAACUACGUG